GUUCAUCGCUCAGGAUGAACGCUAGCUACAGGCUUAACACAUGCAAGUCGAGGGGAAACGACAUCGAGAGCUUGCUUUUGAUGGGCGUCGACCGGCGCACGGGUGAGUAACGCGUAUCCAACCUGCCCAUCACUUGGGAAUAACCUUGCGAAAGUAAGACUAAUACCCAAUGAUAUCCCACGAAGGCAUCCGAAUGGGAUUAAAGAUUUAUCGGUGAUGGAUGGGGAUGCGU
Molecule: ribosomal RNA, 232 nt
Filed under: uncultured bacterium
Lineage: Bacteria
Description: partial 16S ribosomal RNA
Rfam family: Bacterial small subunit ribosomal RNA
Source: RNAcentral